RNAcentral lists this ribosomal RNA (207 nucleotides) under uncultured bacterium. Its description in RNAcentral is "partial 16S ribosomal RNA". It matches the Rfam family "Bacterial small subunit ribosomal RNA", at positions 568 to 774 of the family's 1533-position model. The record is from RNAcentral.
CGCGUAGGCGGACUUUUAAGUUAGGGGUGAAAUCCCAGGGCUCAACCCUGGAACUGCCCUUAAUACUGGAAGUCUUGAGUUCGAGAGAGGUGAGUGGAAUUCCGAGUGUAGAGGUGAAAUUCGUAGAUAUUCGGAGGAACACCAGUGGCGAAGGCGGCUCACUGGCUCGAUACUGACGCUGAGGUGCGAAAGUGUGGGGAGCAAACA